ACAGAUAAUGAGAAAUUGGUGAAAAUGCCUACGCCAAGUGUUGACAGUGUGAAAGUAGCAGUGCGAGUGCGGCCUUUUAGUCAGAGAGAGAAGAAUUCUGGGAGCAAAUGUGUGAUUUCCAUGCAUUCUGGAACUACCACCACUACACAGGACCCUAAGAAUCCAGAGCAUGUGAAGACAUUUACUUUUGACCUGGCAUAUUGGUCUCACAAUGGAUUUCAAAGGGAUAAGGAUGGUGUCCUUAUUUCAGCUGAUCCUAGUCAUAAAUUUGCAGGCCAGAGAGACGUCUUCCAUGACCUUGGCAGGGGAGUUCUGGACAGUGCUUGGCAAGGCUAUAAUGCAACUCUCCUAGCCUAUGGCCAAACUGGCUCUGGGAAAAGCUAUUCCAUGAUUGGGUUUGGUGCAAACAGGGUAUAAUUCCAACUGUGUGUGAGGAGCUCUUUCAAGCAAUUGAGAACCAGGGGAGAAAUCAAGAACACCAGGUUAUAUUCAGUAUGCUAGAAAUUUACAAUGAACAGAUAAGAGAUUUACUGUCCAGAACCAAAAAACCUGGUGGGCUUAGAGUAAGGGAAGAUCAACAGCUGGGAUUUUACGUGGAAGGCCUGAAGUCGGUGCCCUGUGAGAACUAUGCCCAAAUUGAAAGGCUGAUGGAACAAGGAACAAAAAUAAGGACCACAGCUUCCACCAACAUGAAUGCCGCCAGCAGCAGCUGGUCUCACUUGGUCAUCACCAUCCAGUUCAAGCAGGUUUUCCUAGACAGAGAUCUCACCAAACAAUCCAGUAUUAAUUUGGUGGACCUGGCAGGAAGUGAGAGGCAGAAAUCUUCAGGAUCUGAAGGAGACAGACUGAGGGAAGGAUCACGCGUUAACUUAAGUUUAACCAAUUUGGGAAGUGUUAUCAGUGUUCUGGCUGACGCAGCUAUGGGGAAGAAGGUCUUGCACAUUCCAUACAGAGAUUCUGUUCUGACCAAACUGCUCCAGUCAGCUCUGGGUGGGAACAGCAGAACCGCUUUGAUCGCAGCCGUAAGUCCAGCUGACAUCUGCUAUGAGGAAACUCUAUCAACAUUAAGAUAUGCGGAAAGGGCUUAAAAGAUCCGGAACAAAGCAGUGGUCAACACCUGGACACUGAUGAGAAAGUCAAGGGCGGAGAACAGCAAGCUGCUGCCCUGAUGCAGAGCCGUCGGCCUGUCUCCAAGCAGAGCAGCAGCUGGGGACUCCUGAUCAGGUGACCUGGGCACACCUGCUGGAGAAGGCCCAGGAGCGGCAGAUGAUGACCUUCCCUCACCUUCUUAACGUCAACGAGGACCCUCAGCUCACCAGGGUGCUCAAGUACUUCAUUCAAGCUGGUUCAUGUGACGCUGGUCGGGCUGCCUCAAAUGCUAUCACGAUUCAAGGUUUGGGAAUUUCAGAUAAACACGCUUCCUUCACAAAUGCCGACGGUAAAGUGAUGGUCACUCCACACAGCAAAUGCAAGGUUGCCGUUAAUGGGGUGCCCAUCACCACCAGGACAAAGCUGCAGCAUUUGGACCGCCUGAUUUUGGGAUCCAACAGCACCUACCUGUACGUGGGGUUUCCUUCGGAGUGGGGCAGUGAGGACCUGAGCAGGUUCGAUUACGACUUCUUCCAGCUGGAGAGGGCGGCUGCGGAGGGAGCGAGUGCAGACAAACUCGGUGCUGCGGACGGUGGAGACGGCAAGGCAGGCCCCAGUGUCCUGGCUGCAUUCCAGGACUACAUCAAACUGAUGCCGCUGGUUCAGAAGCAAAUCAAAUGAGUGAAGAGCUGAAGAAGGGACUUAACAUGGAAUUGAAGGUGAAAAAUUUGGCAUCGUCAGAUUCCAGGGGCUAUGACCUACAGAAGGAGGUCUUGGUGAAGGUGACCCACCACGGGUCUCACGAGGUGUGGAUAUGGUCAAAAGCCAAGUUCAUCAAUAGGAAAUUCCUAAUGCAGGAACUUUACCAGCGCUUUCUAGAUGGAGAUCACGGCCCUGUGGCUCGAGAAGACGACCCUUUCUGGGAUCCUGUCGAGGUCGUCUGUUUGGGCUCAGCUCACAUCUGGCUCCAGUCGCUGGCCUACUGCAUGAAGCUGGAGGAGCAAGUGGAGUUUCUGAACUGUGACAGGCUGGAGGAGGCGGUGCUGCAUACCUGCAUAGCACCCUGCUCCCCAACAGGACAAACGCAUGGCGAGGAGGAUGUGGUUAUCGACCCUUUGGAGCUGCUGGGCAAGAGGAUGGAUUUUCAGAUUCACAUUGUCCGGUGCCUUGGCGUCAACUGGAUGAAGGAAGAUGCAAAGCGGGGCAUUCAGAUAGGGUACAGAAUUUAUGACCUUCCAAACACUAUUUAUACCAAACCUGUAUGGAAAAGUGUGAAUCCACAAAUUGAAGAGACUGUCCAAUUUGCAGCCUUAACUGCAUCUCAGGAGUUUCUGAAUUAUUUGCGGACAAAUGCCCUUAUUGUUGACCUAUGGGGCCUUCAAGAAGGCUGCACCGAGCUGAGCUGCUCUCAGCUGGGCCUCAGGGUCACAGGUGAAGGCCACAUCCUGGUAGACACCAAGAAAAUUUCCACUGUGAAGGAUAUAAGCCAAGCAGCAUCAAACCAGAUACCAGAACUUUAUCUGAAGCUGCUCAAGCUAGAGCAGGAGACAGAACUGCUCAGGAACAUUAACAGAACCCUGAGAGAGCAGAACGUGCUUCUCAAAGCAUCACUUGCAAAAAUUGCUUCUGGUCAAGCCCUGAAGCCUUCCAACACUCUGAAGAUCGGCGGGAUGACUGUGCAACUGCCAUCCGCCAGGGAGAUGAGCCAAAUGUGCACACAGCAAGCCGGCUCUGACCGAGAGCUUGCCAAGGCUCUGAAGGUGUUCUACCAAAGCAUGAACACGGCAAGAGGGCAGCUUUUCAGACUCAGACGGCACCAACCUCCG
This 2915-nucleotide small RNA is filed under the name Pan troglodytes (chimpanzee). Its description in RNAcentral is "transcribed unitary pseudogene". The record is from RNAcentral. Lineage: Eukaryota; Metazoa; Chordata; Mammalia; Primates; Hominidae.